GGGCGAUUAGCUCAGUGGGUCAGAGCGCGCCCCUUACAAGGGUGAGGUCAUUGGUUCGAGUCCAAUAUCGCCCA
Molecule: transfer RNA, 74 nt
Filed under: Anaerolineaceae bacterium
Lineage: Bacteria; Bacillati; Chloroflexota; Anaerolineae; Anaerolineales; Anaerolineaceae
Also listed under: 1 other name
Description: tRNA-Val
Rfam family: tRNA
About the family: Transfer RNA (tRNA) molecules are approximately 80 nucleotides in length. Their secondary structure includes four short double-helical elements and three loops (D, anti-codon, and T loops).
Source: RNAcentral